GAGUGAACACACGACGAAGGAAGGCACGGCGUCCGCCGCGCGCGCACGCGCCUGCCACUCACACGCAAGGGCGCAAAAAAAAAAAAAAAAAAAAAAAAAAAAAAAUCCUCACGGCAAGUUCCAAACGUUAACUUCACCUGGGAACUCAAAGACACGGCAGCGCGAGCGCCUCGCACAGUGGAACGUAAACAGAACGUGUUUUUAACUUUGGGACGCUCGCGGAGUCACGUGGGUGGCGAACGGGCAAGCGCAUUGGCUGACGCGGGAGCAGGAAGUUGUCCGCCUCAGCCAAUCGGGUGCCGAGCCUCGUCCGCGCGAGCGUGAUGUUCGUCGAGUCCCCAGAUGAGUUAAAAAUAAAAGUGGCCAAAAAAUGUUGAGGCGACGGGAUCGCGGCGAUUGUGUUAUUGCACGUGAAGCUGCGUUAUGACCCUCCCCCCCCCCCCCCCCCCAGUUGAGUGUCUCCUGGCUGGAUGUUUACGCUAUAUGUCAUGAUUAUUUUAUUCGUGGCGUCUCCUCCAACACAUUUCCUGUGUCUUACUUACUCGUAGAAGUACAGGUACACGUACAGGUACAGGUACACGUGUGACUCAAGUGCUGUUCCAUUUAUGUUCCAGCCCUGAAGGUGCCCCAGAUAUUUAUUGAUUAUUUAAUCUUUAUUAUUUAGUUAUUAUGCUGAAUGGCAGUAUACCCCACCCGCCCAGUGUUUCAAAUUUCAGUCAUUUAAAUCAUUCAUCCAAGCUGGAGCCCUACAGUCCACCCUGAAGGAAAUAACUUCUGCAGCAUCCGCAUCUCAGCGAGGGGAGGCGGACGGUGCCCUGCUCUGCCCAUGAGGACCGCUGGGUGAUGCCCGAGGAGCACGAAAAAUCCCUGCUGCUGGAUCCAAACACACAAAGCAGGAUUUCCAGUUCACACACUUCCGCAAAGCAGCACUCGAGUGGGAGUCUGAGAAGGAGAGGUCGAGUGGUCGAGAGGAGGCGAACAGGGGAAGCUGGACGGAUCAUCCUGUGGAAAACUCGAGGCGACAGAGCGAAGUAG
This 1035-nucleotide long non-coding RNA is filed under the name Scleropages formosus (Asian bonytongue). RNAcentral's name for it is "lncRNA (ENSSFOG00015029029.1)". The record is from RNAcentral. Lineage: Eukaryota; Metazoa; Chordata; Actinopteri; Osteoglossiformes; Osteoglossidae.